UUCGAUUAAGCCAUGCGAGUCGAGAGUCUUAGGGACUCGGCGUACCGCUCAGUAACACGUGGGUAACCUGCCCUAUGCUGGGGAAUAACCUCGGGAAACUGAGAAUAAUGCCCCAUAGUCCACCAUGCCUGGAACGGUUGGUGGAUCAAAGCUCCGGCGGCAUAGGAUGGGCCUGCGGCGUAUCAGGUUGUAGGGGGUGUAAUGUACCCUCUAGCCAUCAACGCGUACGGGUGUUGGGAGACAUAGCCCGGAGAUGGAUUCUGAGACACGAAUCCAGACCCUACGGGGUGCAGCAGGCGCGAAAACUUGGCAAUGCGAGCAAUCGUGACCAGGGAACUCCAAGUGGCUGGGGUAAGACCCAGUCUUUUCUUGACUCUUCAAAGGUCUUGGAAUAAGGGGUGGGUAAGGACGGUGCCAGCCGCCGCGGUAAUACCGGCGCCUCAAGUGGUAGUCGAUUUUAUUGGGCCUAAAACGUCCGUAGCCUGUUUGGUACAUUCAUGGGUAAAUCAACCAGCUCAACUGAUUGAAUUCUGCGAGCACGGCCAGACUUGGGACCGGGAGAGGUGUGGGGUACGCUCAGGGUAGGGGUAAAAUCCUGUCAUCCUGAGCGGACCACCUGUUGCGAAGGCGCCACACUAGAACGGAUCCGACGGUCAGGGACGAAGCCUAGGGGCACGAACCGGAUUAGAUACCCGGGUAGUCCUAGGUGUAAACGCUGUGGACUUGGUGUUGGGGAUUCUCCGAGGAUUCUCAGUGCCGAAGCGAAGGUGAUAAGUCCACUGCCUGGGGAGUACGGUCGCAAGGCUGAAACUUAAAGGAAUUGGCGGGGGAGCACCGCAACCUGAGGAUUGUGCG
RNAcentral lists this ribosomal RNA (855 nucleotides) under uncultured archaeon. RNAcentral's name for it is "bacterial SSU rRNA". It matches the Rfam family "Archaeal small subunit ribosomal RNA", at positions 39 to 899 of the family's 1478-position model. The record is from RNAcentral.